This 253-nucleotide ribosomal RNA is filed under the name uncultured bacterium. RNAcentral describes it as "partial 16S ribosomal RNA". It matches the Rfam family "Bacterial small subunit ribosomal RNA", at positions 524 to 776 of the family's 1533-position model. The record is from RNAcentral.
UACGUAGGGUCCGAGCGUUGUCCGGAAUUAUUGGGCGUAAAGAGCUCGUAGGCGGUUUGUCGCGUCUGCUGUGAAAUCCCGAGGCUCAACCUCGGGCCUGCAGUGGGUACGGGCAGACUGGAGUGCGGUAGGGGAGAAUGGAAUUCCUGGUGUAGUGGUGAAAUGCGUAGAGAUCCGGAGGAACACCAGUGGCGAAGGCGACACGCUGGGCCGUACCUGACGCUAAAGCGCGACAGCAUGGGGAGCAAACGGG